GCCCCAAAACCAGCCAACCAAAUACCCAAAACCCCUUCCCCCCACCAACCAAAACAUUUGCCUCGGCCAGUAAAUGAGAUUAAACCCCACCUUUUGGCCUUAAAAGUACCGCAAGGGAAAAAAUGAAAGAAUAAUGAAAACCAAAGCAUUAAAAAGCAAAGAUAUCCCCCCGUACCUCCUGCAUCAUGGUCUAGCAAAACACCCUCAGACAAAGAGACCUUUAGCCUGAUACCCCGAAACCAAACGAGCUACUUUUUGGCAGCAUUAAUAGAGCACAUCCGUCCCUGUGGCAAAAGGGUGGAAAGACCAAAAAAUAGAGGCGAAAGGCCUAUCGAGCUUGGUGAUAGCUGGUUACUCAUAAAAGAAUUUAAGUUCAACUUUAGGUUUACACAAGAUUACUUAGAACUUCUCCCUUCAACCUAAGGAAACUCAACAGGGGUACAGCCCUGUUGAACCGGAAUACAGCCCGAACCGAGAGAUUUUUUUCCUUUCCCUUCCCAGUGGGCCUCAAAGCAGCCACCAAAAAUUGCGUUACAGCAUAAACUAAAUAAUUUUAAUAAUUUUCGCUACCUCCCGAUACAAUACGAGUUAUUCUAUACCAAUAUAGAAAAACCAAUGCUAGAAUUAGUAAUAAGAAACAAUUAUUUCUCUUCGCAUCCUCUUGAAUCAGAACAGAAAAACUACUGAUACUUAACAAAUUAAACCAACCACUUUUCUCAACACUAGCUUAAAUGUUAUUCACACUGUCACCCCAACACAGGCAUGCAAAAAAGAAAGGCAAAAAGCCGUAAAAGGAACUCGGCAAUGAAGCUGUCCCAACUGUUUACCAAAAACAUAGCCUUUAGCUCUUUACAAGUAUUAAAGGUCCCGCCUGCCCAGUGACUCUUUAAACGGCCGCGGUAUCCUAACCGUGCAAAGGUAGCAUAAUCACUUGUCCCUUAAAUCGGGACUGGAAUGAAUGGCUUAAUGAGGACUAAACUGUCUCUUACGACCUGGCCAAUGAAAUUGAUCUCCCAGUACAAAAGCUGGGAUAUACCCAUAAGACGAGAAGACCCUGUGGAGCUUCAAAACCAAACCACCCAACAUGGCUCCUUGGAUUUUUAGUUGGGGCGACUUCGGAACAUAACAAAACUUCCAAAGCAUGAAAUUAGUUUCAUCAAGAUUAACACACCAAAAUUACCACACAAGACCCAGCAAUUAUUUGACUGAUCAAUGAACCAAGUUACCCCAGGGAUAACAGCGCAAUCUCCUUUUAGAGUCCAUAUCGACAAGGGGGUUUACGACCUCGAUGUUGGAUCAGGACAUCCCAAUGGUGCAGCCGCCAUUAAAGGUUCGUUUGUUCAACGAUUAAUAGUCCUACGUGAUCUGAGUUCAGACCGGAGAAAUCCAGGUCGGUUUCUAUCUAUGCAGUACUAUCUUUAGUACGAAAGGACCAAGAUAGUAGGACCUCUUCCAAAAGAACGUCCUAAUUAAAACCACUGAUUACUGCUAAAGUAACAGAUAUGCUCCUUCCACGCCCUAAAAUAGGGCUU
Molecule: ribosomal RNA, 1532 nt
Filed under: Lacerta schreiberi
Lineage: Eukaryota; Metazoa; Chordata; Lepidosauria; Squamata; Lacertidae
Description: partial large subunit ribosomal RNA
Rfam family: Bacterial large subunit ribosomal RNA
Source: RNAcentral